Molecule: long non-coding RNA, 258 nt
Filed under: Elaeis guineensis (African oil palm)
Lineage: Eukaryota; Viridiplantae; Streptophyta; Magnoliopsida; Arecales; Arecaceae
Description: long non-coding RNA (EGUI_LNC043696)
Source: RNAcentral
UGCUGGCCGGCCUACAUUCGCCGCGUGUCCCACCCACCUUGACAGACUGUUGAAAACGGCAGGCAGCUGACAAAGUCAUUAUUACGCCGUACCUAAAGCCACGCCCUGGUGGGAAUUCCAAAAAGAAAAAAUCUCUUUCGAAAAGGCUCCAGUACCAGCAUGCCGAACGUCAAAUAUCUGGCAACUGCCAAGCACAAAAAUCGAGGAGGACAGCUUUGGCCGUGAGAAUUUCUCUGCACUUCCUUCAUUCGUAGCCCG